CACCAGAGUUCAAUUUGCUACAGACUCCUCUUGUGGUUAAGAAAGCUGAAGUUUUGGCCACAUCUGCUUCUGGUUUUCCCGGCUUUACUCCUCGGUCUAUCCUCAGAUCCAGCGUUCGCAGCACACCCCAGGCAACUCCCUCUGCGUUUCCAGGAGAAUCAGUUACUCCUCCUCCCAGAGCAAACAAACACAGAGUGUCUUUCAAGGAAGGGAACUCAGAUGAGAAAUGGACUGUUGGGAAUGAUCGCCAUCCUCGCUUCAGAGAGGGGGCAUGUGCCAGAAAGUCUGAAUUACGCCCAUAUCGGAAGAUCCUUCCUAGAGUUCAAAGGCAGCUGGCUGCAGAGAGAGCCAGGCCUUACCAUUUGCCUUUGUCGGCCUUAAGAGGAGGUAAUUUUUAGCGCGGGGAAUACAGCGGUCAAGAAACGCUCACUUUGAUAACACAAGGCUGAUAGGUUUUCCCUUGUGC
This is a long non-coding RNA of Tyto alba (common barn owl), 466 nucleotides long. RefSeq lists it as uncharacterized. The transcript has 3 exons. Lineage: Eukaryota; Metazoa; Chordata; Aves; Strigiformes; Tytonidae. The record is from RefSeq and is a predicted model, not a curated record.